CAAUGCUGUAUGUAAAUGUAUUUUAUACCUAAAAUGUACCAAUAAACUUAAUGAGGGGAAAAUAAAAAAGAUAAAAAAGACCUAGGAAUAUUAGGCUUUUGACAUCCCCAAAGGAACUUCCAGGUAUCAGAUUUAGUAUUCAGUCACAGAAUUACAGCACAUCGUGUUCAGGUAGAGGAUGGCCCUGGCGUUUAACUGCACAAAAAUGCCAAAGUUUUGUGUGUUGUGGUUGCUGAAUUGAAACCCAGUGGGCUGCAAUAGGUUAUCAUGCCAGAAUGAGUUGACUCAAUUGGCAGAAUAGAGGAUGUAGCAAUAAACUCAUGGGUUCUGGAGCCAAGAGAACCGCAGGAGCAUUGUUUGUUUUUUGGUACUGGGGACUGAACUCGGGACCUUGCACUUGCGAGGUAGGAGCCAAAACCACUGAGCUAAAUACCCAACUCCAGGAGUACUAUUUCUGUCAAACGUUUAAACUCCAUACUGACUUGCGAGUGAAACAGAGCUCUAGAGACCACUAGAUGGCGCUGCUACACCAUAUAAAGAAGGCUAGAGGUGCUUCUCAAAGCUAGGGAUUUGCACAAGCCACUCUUCACCAAACUCUGGAGAGAGAAGCAGGGAAGGGAGAGCUCUCUGAGUGAUCAAGCACUGCUUCAGCCUAUAGGGACUGAAUACUUCUUAAAAGUAUAUUCAGAUUGUCAGAUUGGGUUAAGUUUAAACUAGAUCAAACCAUUAAGUUUUGUCUCUUGCUAACCAGCCGAUGGUGAUUUGGGAGGGAUGUCAACUUAUACAGUAAAAUAAAGAAAGUGUAAUGUUUCUAUAAAUCAUCUGAAUUGUAUUGUAAGUCUUGGGUUUUGUCUCUGAUUGUCCUUCUGCUCAGUCAUUGAGAUUUCUCUUUCAAUAGGAUGCCAGAAGAGGAAAGAGGAUUAGAGAACAUCAUACCUUAAAUUUAUCUUUCUCUUUUAUCUCCUUCCUUUCCUAUUUUUGUUUCCUGCUCUGUCCUUGAGUUUGGAAAGGGUAUUUGAGUUUGGAGGGCUCAUGUCCAUGAAGACAUCCUUGACCUCCAGUUAUCUCUUCAUCUUUUGCCAAUAUUUUCAUCUUGUGUUUCUGUGCUAUUAAUCACUUUUUAUUCUGUCUGUUCAUAUUCUUUCUAUCAUUUGAGUAUAUCUCUUAAGAAGUGGAUCUAUGUGUAAUUCAUUUAUAAAGAUCUGAGUUCUUUAAAAAUUCUACAUGUAUAGGAAAUGUUUAGUGUGAAUAGUACCAGUCUCAAGCUGUGCAAAGAUAUAUGUUAACAAAGUUAAUUGCAGUACUGUUUAUAAUGGUGAACAUUUAGGAACUUCAGUUGCCAGUCAGUUGGGGCCUGGUUAAUUACAUACAAAGAAAAAACAUUAAUUGUUAAACUAGAUCAAUAUUUGUUGUUCUAGAAAGAUGUUCAUAGUAGAUUUUUAGUGGAAAAAGAGAUUAUAUAUACAUUUCCAUAUAUGCAAAAUUAUGUGUAUUUAACCUUGUGCCCAUAUUCCUGGAAUAUUAAUGUAUUAAAAUGUUUACAGAAAGUGGUAUUUUGUGUUCUUAAUGUUUUCCCAAGUUUUGGAUUUUUUCAGUGAACCUGUUUUAUUAGAACAAUAAUGAAAAUUUCAAAAAUUUUAUUUCUUAUGUCUUGCUCAGAAUUCUUUAGGUUCUCAUUACAUAGUUGUUCAUCAAAGCAAUUCAAAUGUUUAAGGAACAUUUGGCCAAAUCUGGAGAAAUUUUUGGCUGUUAUAAUUGCUGGCAAUAGUACCAGGAUGUAGUGGGUAGAGUUCAUGGAUGCUGCUAUCCAUCCUAUAAUGCACAGGAUAGUCCCCCACAACAGAGAAUUAUGGGACCUUAAUGUUAACAGCUUUGAGGUUGAAGCGUCUUGAAAUUCUUUAUCCUGAUAAGGCUCAUUACCACCAUCUGGUGGUGGGAGAAGAACCUGCAACUUUUAUAUAGUUUCUCUGGAAAUAAGAUGGGGUAUGAUAAGAAGGAUAGCUAUAGUUAGAGUAGGAGGCAGGGAACGAGCAAGGAAAAUUCAUAGUUGACAGGCUCUUUGGUACUUUUACAGAGACCAGUAGGUUAUUCUGAAGCUAUCGUUGUAGUUUACCUCACAUUACAAUUCCUGUUUUCCAUUCUUACUGGGACUCUCGGGACUCGGAAUAAGUAGAUAUUGAGGCAAGACAGUUUCUGAGUAAACUUUAACUUGAUGCAUGGAGAGAAUCUCUACUUGUACUCAUAGGUGCCUCCCCAGCACAUAGGAUGAUAAAACUUUAGCUCUGUCAGGAAUAUUUCCAGACUGGAAUAGAUAGGACCAAAGCAGGUUUCCUUGCUUUGGCUCCAUUUAACUGUGGCCUCCAUCUCAUUGCUCCAAAUGAAUGCAUUUGAAAAGCCUGGGCUUCUUUCCUUGACCCCACUCCUUCUACCUCCAAUUUAAAGGCCAUGUGGAAAAAAAUACCUAUUCUUGUUCUACUUCUUAAUUGUGUCUUUUUAUGCACUGAUUUUCUAUUUUCUAUGAUCACUUACUAAUGAAUUGCUCACCUAGCAUCUAUGUCUCUUGUCUGCUGCUCUCAACAGGGCUGCAAGCCAUUGCUCACUUCUGUGUCUAGUCACUUCUGGAAGGCCUGCAUUCUCUCACCUCCUGAAAGGAUGCUGCUCUCUUCCUACAGGUGUUGGGGAGAGAAUGUUAUGUAGCCCUUACUUUUUUUUGGUGCUUGUUAUUUAUUGUCUACAACCCUAUUGUUCAAAUCCAUUUGGAUUUAGCAGUCUUUUCGAAGGCCUUCAAGAAUAUUACAGAUUGGUUUCUCCAGAAGCAGAUGCUGAGAAUGUGCAAGAGAUUUAUUAGGGGUCCAUACCUGUAAAAGAAGAGGCAGAAGUAGAAUUGACAGAGGAAGAAAUUGAACUGUGAUGCAGGCCUUACAAACCUUGAGCCAGGUGGGAGCUCUGAAGUGUGUGAAGGCCAUCCAAGUGUCCUGUACGUGGCAGGACUCUCUUAGUCACUGGAUACAGGUUACCCCAUGAAGCACAUAAUCUCAGCUGAAGAGGCUUUCUGCAAUUGAGCCAGAUUUGAAAGAUUCAACAGCUGAAGAAUGGCUGCUUACUUCACACCCCUUAGCUGAGCAGCAUGCCUUUCCUUGAAGGAGGAUCUGGGUGGUACAUUUCUAUUCUUCCACAAAGGAGGUGAUAGAAAUCAUGGUGUAAACUAAGAAAAUUGCUUUCACAAUUCUAAGAGAAAGUACCAAAGAUAGUUAAACUAUUAUGGAGGCUGUUUCAAGGAGGACAUGCCCAGCUUCACAUAUCUUCCAAUUUGGAAUAAACUCAAAUCACUUGGAUCGCACUAAAAAUAAUAAUGACAUUGAGGGCUAUUAGAUAGCUCUUGUAAAAGGAAUCAAACAAUGCUCUUUUACUGUCUUCUUUCCAUUCCUCACUCUGUCUUUGAGGUUUACAGUUUUAAUUUAUUUUAAAAAUUCUACUUAGGGAAAAUAAAAUACAGAUAGAGAAAACAAGGCAAAUGCAUUUGUAACCACUAUUUGGUCAAAUAUAGUACUUGGACCUACUUUUUCAGAACUUAUAAUUGAAUAUGUAGUGUAGACAUAACUACAUUUAAGUAUAAUAGCUAAUAAUACUGUUAAUAACUACUACAAUUACUUUCAUUAAUAUAAUUUUUGUUGGUCCUGUUGCUGCUGCCUAUACUACCAUUACCUAACUCAACACAUUUUACACAUCCCAUGUACAUAUUAUUUGAAGUCAUCCUCACACCUCUAUGAGAUGGGAAACAUUUUACAAAUGAAGAAAAUGAAUCAGAGGUGGCUUAUUUCAUCCAAGGUCACAUAGUUGGAAAAUGGUGGAGGUCCCAGGCACAGCUAAGGAGUCUACCUUCUGAGUUUGGGCUCUUAACUGCAGUUAUGAGGUAGCAUUCCCUAAUUUUCAACACUUGGAUUAGAUCUACUAAUUUACUUCAUCUUGAAUCACUUUCUCAUUUUGCUUCCCCUCUCCUUUGUUUAUUUUCACUGGAAUAACUUCUCCAAUAAAUCAGUUGCAUGUCUUAGGCCUGCUUCUGAGGAAUCCAAGACAUACUGUCUUCCACACUGAUAAAGAAUUAUGGCAGCAACUUUGCUAAGUCAUUAAUUGAUUAGUGUUUGGAAUAGCUGUAACUACCAAGAAAGUGCCAAAAGACUUUGGUAUUAUAAAAUGCAUUUUGAGCUAUUAAAUUAUAAUCACAUUUAUUGUGAGCUAACUAUAUUCUCAAAUGUGAUUUCUCAAGGAGUCCACUGAUUAUUCCUGCCAGUGAAACUCAGGUGAGAUUGUUUCAACCUGUCAAUGUAUUAUAAUAAAAUUAUUCAAAGUAAAGAAGGAACUUGGGAGAGGCAGUAUAACACAAUAACUUGGUGCUUACUGUCCUGUGUACCUUAUGUAUGAUAAUUCCUUUAUUCCCCCAAAAGCAUGAGAAAUCUACCAUUUCAUUGUUUGGGUGUCUGAGCACAGAUAAGUUAUAUGUCCAAGGUCUCACAGGCACAGUUCCUACAAAGAUAGCAGUAUUAGUAGUUAUCAUGUAAGUAUCAGUAAUAAUAUCAUAUUGUCUUCCACUGCCUUGGCCACUUACGCACUAAAACACUAACAUAAAGUGUUGAAGUUUUUCAGAGUUUACUGGAGGGUUGGAAUGAAGAGAAGUACAAUUCUGAGGAAAGGGGAAAAUAAAAUUGUAUGUUUCACAUGUAUUUCUCCAUAGUCCAAAUAAAAGGCAUCCCAAAACUUAAACGGGUCAAUUUUUAGAUACACGUUAUUCUUUAGACUUUCUUGUAUGCAAUUGUGUUUCUAAGAACAAAGACUUCCUUCAAAAUAUUUCAGGGCAGUUUUUCACUUUUAUUUAAUUCACAUCUUUAUUUUUAAGAUUUUGUUUUUCUUGCAGAUAAUUGUAUAUAUUUAUGGGGUACAAAGUGAUUCUUUUAUGUAUGUGUACAUUGGGGAAUGAACAAAUCAGGUAAAUAAAUCCAUUACCUCACAUCUUACUAUUUUUGUGGCAAGAACACAUUUUUAGCAGUUUUUAAAUGUACAUUUAACUAUUGUCAACUUGAUGUGAAAUAGAUCACCAGAACUUACAUCUCUUGUCUAACUGAAGCUUUAUACCCUUCAACCAACAUUUCCCUUUUCCCUUCCCUUCCCUCAGCUUCUAGUAAUCACUACUUUAUUUUUUACUUCUGUGAUUUUUUUUUU
This 5217-nucleotide long non-coding RNA is filed under the name Heterocephalus glaber (naked mole-rat). Its description in RNAcentral is "lncRNA (ENSHGLG00100037745.1)". The record is from RNAcentral. Lineage: Eukaryota; Metazoa; Chordata; Mammalia; Rodentia; Bathyergidae.